This 30-nucleotide non-coding RNA is filed under the name Mus musculus (house mouse). Lineage: Eukaryota; Metazoa; Chordata; Mammalia; Rodentia; Muridae. The record is from RNAcentral.
UGUCAUUCUCUGUUUAUCUUCCAGAAUGGU